CCUACGGGAGGCAGCAGUGAGGAAUAUUGGUCAAUGGACGAGAGUCUGAACCAGCCAAGUAGCGUGAAGGAGGACGGCCCUAUGGGGGGUAAACUUCGUUUAUAGGGGAAUAAAAUGAUCCACGUGUGGGAUUUUGUAUGUACCAUAUGAAUAAGGAUCGGCUAACUCCGUGCCAGCAGCCGCGGUAAUACGGAGGAUCCGAGCGUUAUCCGGAUUUAUUGGGUUUAAAGGGAGCGUGGGUGGAUUGUUAAGUCAGUUGUGAAAGUUUGCGGCUCAACCGUAAAAUUGCAGUUGAAACUGGCAGUCUUGAGUACAGUAGAGGUUGGCGGAAUUCGUGGUGUAGCGGUGAAAUGCUUAGAUAUCACGAAGAACUCCGAUUGCGAAGGCAGUUCACUGGACUGCAACUGACACUGAGGCUCGAAAGUGUGGGUAUCAAACAGGCUUAGAUACCCUUGUAGUC
This 460-nucleotide ribosomal RNA is filed under the name uncultured bacterium. Its description in RNAcentral is "partial 16S ribosomal RNA". It matches the Rfam family "Bacterial small subunit ribosomal RNA", at positions 338 to 795 of the family's 1533-position model. The record is from RNAcentral.